UACGUAGGGUGCAAGCGUUAAUCGGAAUUACUGGGCGUAAAGCGUGCGCAGGCGGUUUUGUAAGUCAGAUGUGAAAUCCCCGGGCUUAACCUGGGAACUGCGUUUGAAACUACAAGGCUAGAGUGUGGCAGAGGGGGGUGGAAUUCCACGUGUAGCAGUGAAAGGCGUAGAGAUGUGGAGGAACACCGAUGGCGAAGGCAGCCCCCUGGGUUAACACUGACGCUCAGGCACGAAAGCGUGGGGAGCAAACAGG
This 253-nucleotide ribosomal RNA is filed under the name uncultured bacterium. RNAcentral's name for it is "partial 16S ribosomal RNA". It matches the Rfam family "Bacterial small subunit ribosomal RNA", at positions 524 to 776 of the family's 1533-position model. The record is from RNAcentral.